UACGUAGGGCGCAAGCGUUGUCCGGAAUUAUUGGGCGUAAAGAGCUCGUAGGCGGCUUGUCACGUCGGGUGUGAAAGCCCGGGGCUUAACCCCGGGUCUGCAUUCGAUACGGGCAGGCUAGAGUGUGGUAGGGGAGAACGGAAUUCCCGGUGUAGCGGUGAAAUGCGCAGAUAUCAGGAAGAACACCCGUGGCGAAGGCGGCUCUCUGGGACGGUACUGACGCUGAGACGCGAAAGCGUGGGGAGCGAACAGG
This 253-nucleotide ribosomal RNA is filed under the name uncultured bacterium. RNAcentral's name for it is "partial 16S ribosomal RNA". It matches the Rfam family "Bacterial small subunit ribosomal RNA", at positions 524 to 776 of the family's 1533-position model. The record is from RNAcentral.